AUUUAAAUAGUCUAAAAAAGAUGCUGGCCUGUGAAGCCAGAGUUAUAGUUAUCUAUUUUAGAUC
RNAcentral lists this transfer RNA (64 nucleotides) under Parastacus brasiliensis. RNAcentral describes it as "tRNA-His". It matches the Rfam family "tRNA". Rfam says of the family: Transfer RNA (tRNA) molecules are approximately 80 nucleotides in length. Lineage: Eukaryota; Metazoa; Arthropoda; Malacostraca; Decapoda; Parastacidae. The record is from RNAcentral.